Molecule: ribosomal RNA, 484 nt
Filed under: uncultured bacterium
Lineage: Bacteria
Description: partial 16S ribosomal RNA
Rfam family: Bacterial small subunit ribosomal RNA
Source: RNAcentral
AUUGAACGCUGGCGGCAGGCCUAACACAUGCAAGUCGAGCGGAUGAAGGGAGCCUGCUCCUGGAUUCAGCGGCGGACGGGUGAGUAAUGCCUAGGAAUCUGCCUGGUAGUGGGGGAUAACGUCCGGAAACGGGCGCUAAUACCGCAUACGUCCUGAGGGAGAAAGUGGGGGAUCUUCGGACCUCACGCUAUCAGAUGAGCCUAGGUCGGAUUAGCUAGUUGGUGGGGUAAAGGCCUACCAAGGCGACGAUCCGUAACUGGUCUGAGAGGAUGAUCAGUCACACUGGAACUGAGACACGGUCCAGACUCCUACGGGAGGCAGCAGUGGGGAAUAUUGGACAACGGGCGAAAGCCUGAUCCAGCCAUGCCGCGUGUGUGAAGAAGGUCUUCGGAUUGUAAAGCACUUUAAGUUGGGAGGAAGGGCAGUAAGUUAAUACCUUGCUGUUUUGACGUUACCAACAGAAUAAGCACCGGCUAACUUCGUG